This 253-nucleotide ribosomal RNA is filed under the name uncultured bacterium. Its description in RNAcentral is "partial 16S ribosomal RNA". It matches the Rfam family "Bacterial small subunit ribosomal RNA", at positions 524 to 776 of the family's 1533-position model. The record is from RNAcentral.
UACGUAGGGUGCGAGCGUUGUCCGGAAUUAUUGGGCGUAAAGGGCUCGUAGGCGGUCUGUCACGUCGGGAGUGAAAACUCGGGGCUUAACUCCGAGCCUGCUUCUGAUACGGGCAGACUAGAGGUAUGCAGGGGAGAAUGGAAUUCCUGGUGUAGCGGUGAAAUGCGCAGAUAUCAGGAGGAACACCGGUGGCGAAGGCGGUUCUCUGGGCCUUACCUGACGCUGAGGAGCGAAAGUGUGGGGAGCGAACAGG